UUAAUGGGCCUCUACGAGUUUUAUUGCUGUCAUUUGGAGAGUUUUAUUAAUAGGCCUCUACGAGUUACAUUGAUGUUGUUUAAUUGCGGCCUACAUGAUGCGUUUUUUUGUCGUGACCUGAAAAAGUGAAAUAUCAUCUUCUGCGAUGGAUCUAGGGUUCAUCCUUUUCUCAAGAUCCGAUUAGGUCAAACUGUAAUGGAGGUGCUGGGAGGUUCUCUUUGUCAAAUAUUCGUAUUGAAUCUCUAUGUCGGUUUCAUUCAUGUUGUUCCGUCUCCGAUUCAACGUAUAUAAUACGUUACGAGAUUCAGUGUUUAUCGUCAUUAAUAGUCAUCUUUACUCCUUAGAUCCACGCCAUCAACAAUUACUCAUUCAAUUCUUCUUAACUCCCUUCCAGUCGGUGAAACGUUUCGUAUAUAAAGGUGUGCCUCCUCAGGUUUUGAGAAGCCAGAAACGAGCUCAUUGGUGACUCUAAGGUGAUUCUGUUCAAGAAAUUCAUGUUCAUCAUAAAGGUUGAACACACGGCUGCGUAUAGGAUCAUAGUUAUGAAAAAUCUAUUUUUCUUCCUUGGGAGAUGGUUUUGAAUCCAGUUGUUUUCAAAAUUCUAUUUUUGGUUUUGAAUCGGUUGUUGAUUAUGCUUUUUUUAUUAUGUUCUUAAAACUCAUGUUCAUCGGAGUGUUUGAACACACGGUGGCGUUAGGCUCACUUAUAUAUAAAAAUCAGUAUUAUAAUUUCCCUCUUUUGGAGAUGUCUCGACAGUUGUUGUUUGUUUUUUUUUUCCUUUUUUUAGCGUUUUCAGGCGACACUCAUGCUAGCAACCGUGUACCAUCCCAACUGAGAAGUUCCAGUUUUGAAAAUCGAUGCUCCACUGAAUGAGAGGAAUGGAAGAGUUCUAAUGAUGGUUCUACUUCUCUACCACAAUGGAGCUGCGAAAAUAGGAACAAGCUUACAGUGAAUUAAUGUUUUUCUUAACUCUGAUUGUGCUAUAUACAAUACAAGUGCUGCUCUCAAGCUGUCUGAUUAUUUUCGAAUGAUUUAUAACUCUUUGGAUGAAGAUGAGAUGCUAAGAAAGCUAAGGAAGUUUGCAAGGUUUGGUGAUCAAAUUUGACUAAAUGGGAAGGCUUUAGGUGACAGAGAAACAAAGAAUUAGUAAAGAUAAGUUUACAAUUGUAAGAGCUCCCCACAUGCAUCAAGGUCUGUAAAAACUAAUAUUCUUGGCUUAGGAUAUGCAUCACUUUCCCAUUUUUAGAUUCUUUCACCUUAUUUUCAAAAGGUUUAUUACUUCCUUCACUAUUCACUUUAAAAUUGUAGUUCUAUUUUAUAAAUUCAUAAAAUAUGUUCAUUAGGUC
Molecule: long non-coding RNA, 1346 nt
Organism: Brassica napus (rape)
Lineage: Eukaryota; Viridiplantae; Streptophyta; Magnoliopsida; Brassicales; Brassicaceae
Exons: 5
Source: RefSeq, a predicted model, not a curated record